GUGCCAGCAGCCGCGGUAAUACGAAGGGGGCUAGCGUUGUUCGGAAUUACUGGGCGUAAAGCGCACGUAGGCGGGUCUGUAAGUAGAGGGUGAAAUCCCAGGGCUCAACCCUGGAACUGCCUUCUAGACUGCAGGCCUCGAGGUCAGGAGAGGCGAGUGGAAUACCGAGUGUAGAGGUGAAAUUCGUAGAUAUUCGGUGGAACACCAGUGGCGAAGGCGACUCGCUGGACUGAUACUGACGCUGAGGUGCGAAAGCGUGGGGAGCAAACAGGAUUAGAAACCCGCGUAGUCC
RNAcentral lists this ribosomal RNA (292 nucleotides) under uncultured bacterium. RNAcentral describes it as "partial 16S ribosomal RNA". It matches the Rfam family "Bacterial small subunit ribosomal RNA", at positions 505 to 796 of the family's 1533-position model. The record is from RNAcentral.